This 227-nucleotide long non-coding RNA is filed under the name Carica papaya (papaya). Its description in RNAcentral is "long non-coding RNA (CPAP_LNC003284)". The record is from RNAcentral. Lineage: Eukaryota; Viridiplantae; Streptophyta; Magnoliopsida; Brassicales; Caricaceae.
ACAACUUUCCCGAACACCAAAUCCAACAUUAAAGUCCGACUCAAUGCCUUGUCAACCCUCCCAAUAAUUAAUCAAUAUUAAAUUUUCAUUUAAAUAAUUAACGCUUUCUUUAAUUUAAUUUUAAUAAAUUACUAUUAACCAAUAUAUUUAAAUGAAAAUAAUUUUAAAAAAAAAUGUAAAUUUUUAUGUUCCAAAUCAAAACUCAAAAUACCCGCAAAUUGAUUCAC